GAAAUAUUGAGUCACAUAUCCCACAAUCUGAUUACAGGGAAAUUUACUUUAGAGAAGAACCCAAACCCAACUGUUCAGGUAGACAUUUAUAUGUUAACCCAUUGAGUGCCAGCACUCUCCUGUUGACGAGUAAAAUUGUCAGUGUUAGACACUUAGACAAAGUAACAUAAUAAAGUAGGAUGCAAUGCAACCUAAUGGGUUCAUUAUGGUAUGUCAGAUAAAUUGACUCGUGCAAUUUUUCACAUAUGAGUUCUGGCAUUUACAAGCCCUAGUUUGAAACCAACUUUAAAGCCUACAACAGGUAAUUGCAGCCAACUAUUAAGUUAACCCAUUAGGCUGCCAUGCACCCAAGCUUGUUAUUUUACUUUCAGACCAUCUAAUGGCAGGCAAUUUUACUUCUCAAGGGGACAGCCUUGUCCAUUAAUGCAUUAAUUGUGUUUCUUAACUCCCAAAGUUUCAUUUUACAUUACAAUAUAUCACAACUGAUCUAAGGUUCACAAAUAAUGUCUAACUGAAAUGUUGGGCUCUACUCCAAUACUGGGGACACCACCACUGAAGCUGCUCUCAAACAUGUCAUCAAUCAAUUUAAAAUUGUUUAAUUGUCAGGGCAUAAUUUUGGUCAAUGCCAAGGUGGCUGAUACAUGUACUGUACACCUUUUAUUCCUACAAAUACUUUUAGAACUACAACUCUAAUGACUGUGGGAUUUAUAGAACUACAGUAUGUUUGGCCAGAUGAAUAUUGUAAACCUCUGAAUAUAAGCCCUGGGCUAACUUAUAUUUCUUUGUACUUUGUAAGCAUUUUUGAUGGACUGAGCUGUUGGAUUCCUGGCCCUCGCUGCACUAAUAAAUACCUGUCGAGGGGCUUACAUUAGAGGUGGCUUAUAUUCGGAAUCGCCCGAGUAAAUAUGGAUGGUGGGAUUAUACAUAGGGGGGGGGGGGUUAUAUGUUUGUGGUAAUUGCUUGAUUGCAAUGGGUAUUGAAUGGUUUGAAUCUGAUAUCUUUGGC
This is a non-coding RNA of Paramuricea clavata, 1005 nucleotides long. NCBI's taxonomy places the organism in Eukaryota, Metazoa, Cnidaria, Anthozoa, Malacalcyonacea, Plexauridae. The record is from the annotation of a GenBank genome assembly.